RNAcentral lists this transfer RNA (67 nucleotides) under Ilyanassa obsoleta. RNAcentral describes it as "Tritia obsoleta tRNA-His". It matches the Rfam family "tRNA". From Rfam's summary of the family: Transfer RNA (tRNA) molecules are approximately 80 nucleotides in length. Their secondary structure includes four short double-helical elements and three loops (D, anti-codon, and T loops). The record is from RNAcentral. Lineage: Eukaryota; Metazoa; Mollusca; Gastropoda; Neogastropoda; Nassariidae.
GUCAAGUUAGUUUAACCUAAAACGUCAGCCUGUGGAUUUGAAGAUGAAAGUUUUAUUUCACUUGACC